GAUGAACGCUGGCGGCGUGCCUAAUACAUGCAAGUCGAGCGAACGGACGAGAAGCUUGCUUCUCUGAUGUUAGCGGCGGACGGGUGAGUAACACGUGGAUAACCUACCUAUAAGACUGGGAUAACUUCGGGAAACCGGAGCUAAUACCGGAUAAUAUUUUGAACCGCAUGGUUCAAAAGUGAAAGACGGUCUUGCUGUCACUUAUAGAUGGAUCCGCGCUGCAUUAGCUAGUUGGUAAGGUAACGGCUUACCAAGGCAACGAUGCAUAGCCGACCUGAGAGGGUGAUCGGCCACACUGGAACUGAGACACGGUCCAGACUCCUACGGGAGGCAGCAGUAGGGAAUCUUCCGCAAUGGGCGAAAGCCUGACGGAGCAACGCCCCGUGAGUGAUGAAGGUCUUCGGAUCGUAAAACUCUGUUAUUAGGGAAGAACAUAUGUGUAAGUAACUGUGCACACCUUGACGGUACCUAAUCAGAAAGCCACGGCUAACUACGUG
This 497-nucleotide ribosomal RNA is filed under the name uncultured bacterium. Its description in RNAcentral is "partial 16S ribosomal RNA". It matches the Rfam family "Bacterial small subunit ribosomal RNA", at positions 28 to 507 of the family's 1533-position model. The record is from RNAcentral.